Molecule: ribosomal RNA, 476 nt
Filed under: uncultured organism
Description: partial 16S ribosomal RNA
Rfam family: Bacterial small subunit ribosomal RNA
Source: RNAcentral
CACUCCUGCGGGAGGCAGCAGUGGGGAAUAUUGCACAAUGGGCGCAAGCCUGAUGCAGCCAUGCCGCGUGUGUGAAGAAGGCCUUCGGGUUGUAAAGCACUUUCAGCGGGGAGGAAGGCGAUACGGUUAAUAACCGUGUUGAUUGACGUUACCCGCAGAAGAAGCACCGGCUAACUCCGUGCCAGCAGCCGCGGUAAUACGGAGGGUGCAAGCGUUAAUCGGCAUUACUGGGCGUAAAGCGCACGCAGGCGGUCUGUCAAGUCGGAUGUGAAAUCCCCGGGCUCAACCUGGGAACUGCAUUCGAAACUGGCAGGCUUGAGUCUUGUAGAGGGGGGUAGAAUUCCAGGUGUAGCGGUGAAAUGCGUAGAGAUCUGGAGGAAUACCGGUGGCGAAGGCGGCCCCCUGGACAAAGACUGACGCUCAGGUGCGAAAGCGUGGGGAGCAAACAGGAAUAGAAACCCCUGUAGUCCCAUGAU